Molecule: ribosomal RNA, 1146 nt
Filed under: Triticum aestivum (bread wheat)
Lineage: Eukaryota; Viridiplantae; Streptophyta; Magnoliopsida; Poales; Poaceae
Description: partial small subunit ribosomal RNA
Source: RNAcentral
AUGGCGGCCGCCCUCCACCACCGCCCCCGCUCGCGCUCGCCCCUGCAAGACGAGGAUCUGCUCUCCGAGGUCCUCCUCCGCCUCCCGCCGCAGCCGUCCUCCCUCCCCCGCGCCUCCGCCGUCUGCAAGCGCUGGCGCCGCCUCGUAUCCGACCCCGGCUUCCUCCGCCGCUACCGCCAACACCACCGCCGCAGCCCUCCGCUCCUCGGUUUCUUCCGCAGCGACUAUCCAGGCAUCUCCUACACGCCUGCCAUGGAGGCCCCCGAUCGUGUCCCCGCCGGGCGCUUCUCCUUGAAUCUCAAUGACAGGUACAGUAUCCUCAGCUGCCGCCACGGCCUCGUGCUCAUCUCCCACUCGUUGCGGAACCAGGUCCUGGUGUGGGACCCCGUCACCGGCGACCAGCACCGCGUUGCUGCUCCCCUAGGAAUCGACAUGGCCACUACCCUGAUGGACGGCCAGGUGCUUCGCGCUGCCGCCGACGCCCAGCACUUCCAGGUGGUAUUGGUAAACUACAAGAAGAAAUAUGCACGAGCGAUCGCCGCCAUUUACUCGUCGGAGACCGGUGUGUGGAGUAAUCUCAUCGAAACACCGGUUCCACGUGAGGCCAUGGAAUACGAAAGCAUGCCCCCUGUGCUGGUCGGGGAUUCUCUUUACAUCUUGCUCCCUGGGGAUAGUACAAGUGUAAUUCUUGAGGUUGAUUUGGAUAGCCAGAGCCUAGCUGUGUUAGGUCUGCCAAUGGAUACCUUUGCCAAAGAUCAAUUCUUGAUGGCUAUGCGAGCAGAGGGUGGCGGGCUGGGCGUACUCUCCCUGACAGGAUUCGCCGCCGAGUUAUGGAAGAGGAAUAAGGACUGUGAUGGUGUUGCUUCAUGGGUGCUAGGACGGACUUUUGAAAUGGACAAGCUACUUCCCUUGAAUUCAGAGCAGAUAAGGCACACACCGAUGGUAGCUUAUGCUGAGGAAAAUAAUGUGGCUUUCUUGCGGACAUUUGACAGUAUCUUCAUGGUCCAGCUUGAGUCAUUGCAGUUCAGUAAACUUCCUGAAAACAGUAACUGUGAUAUCUGUUAUCCAUUAGAAAGUGUCUAUGCUUCAGAAACAAGCAUUGGUGGUGGACAUGAUGGAGCUGAUCAAAAUAUGCUGAAUCAAUGA